Molecule: small nucleolar RNA, 107 nt
Filed under: Olea europaea subsp. europaea
Lineage: Eukaryota; Viridiplantae; Streptophyta; Magnoliopsida; Lamiales; Oleaceae
Description: Plant small nucleolar RNA R71
Rfam family: Plant small nucleolar RNA R71
About the family: R71 is a member of the C/D box family of snoRNAs containing the C (UGAUGA) and D (CUGA) box motifs. Multiple nearly identical copies of this snoRNA have been identified in Arabidopsis, and it is thought to function as a 2'-O-ribose methylation guide for 18S ribosomal RNA.
Source: Rfam by way of RNAcentral
UAACCAUGCUGAGGACAUCUUCUAAGUAGAUCUUUGAAUCUCUCCCAAGCUUUACAGAAUAGUUCGAAGUCUACUUGUCUAAAGUGACCAAUUUCACUCCUCAACUG